This 393-nucleotide ribosomal RNA is filed under the name uncultured bacterium. Its description in RNAcentral is "partial 16S ribosomal RNA". It matches the Rfam family "Bacterial small subunit ribosomal RNA", at positions 523 to 918 of the family's 1533-position model. The record is from RNAcentral.
AUACGGAGGAUCCGAGCGUUAUCCGGAUUUAUUGGGUUUAAAGGGAGCGUAGGCGGACGCUUAAGUCAGUUGUGAAAGUUUGCGGCUCAACCGUAAAAUUGCAGUUGAUACUGGGUGUCUUGAGUACAGUAGAGGCAGGCGGAAUUCGGGGUGUAGCGGUGAAAUGCUUAGAUAUCACGAAGAACUCCGAUUGCGAAGGCAGCUUGCGGAACUGUAACUUACGCUGAUGCUCGAAAGUGUGGGUAUCAAACAGGAUUAGAUUCCCUGGUAGUCCACACUGUAAGCGAUGAAUACGCGCUGUUUGCGAUAUACAGUAAGCGGCCAAGCGAAAGCGUUAAGUAUUCCACCUGGGGAGUACGCCGGCAACGGUGAAACUCAAAUGAAUUGACGGGG